This is a long non-coding RNA of Sardina pilchardus (European sardine), 935 nucleotides long. RefSeq lists it as uncharacterized. The record is from RefSeq and is a predicted model, not a curated record. Lineage: Eukaryota; Metazoa; Chordata; Actinopteri; Clupeiformes; Clupeidae. The transcript has 3 exons.
UGUCCAUUGGCAGCCUUUUUAGCGCUGCCCCCACUGCAGCAGAUCAGUGUGAUGUGAAAUAUUAGGUAUCAGCUCAGAAAUGCAGUUCUGCCACAGCGUUGCUGUCAUCCGAGGACAAAUGGUGCCGGAGAAGGAGAAAUAUCGUCUAAGCUCGGCAACGUAUGGCCUUCAGGAAAAGUUUUUUUUGUGGUGAACUUUUUAGUGCAUCAAAGGAAUCUAGGGGAGAACUGUCCAGAGCCUCAAUGUCUUGUCUGUGAUGGGUGUACCGCCCUCUUGGCACGCUUAUUCCUCAGUGUCAGUGAUGUUAGUUGGACGAGACUAAUGGCCGGGCUAUUACGCUUAAGAACACGCGUCCCCUCGCGGACCUCGAGCUGACGGCUCUGAGCCAUGUGCUCAGAAAAACGCACUCUCCGCAAAGUGGCGAACAAACUAUGCGGCCUGGACCGAGCAAACCCCCCCCAACCCAGCCAAUCAGCACUGCUGCCGCUUCAGGGGCACUGAAGGGAGGAGGUUAUUUGAUUGGCUUGUCAUCUUGAUUGACUUUGAGUUAUCGUGUCGUACAUUUUGCUUCGAGUUCAUAUCCAUGUCUUUGUUUUCAUAUCGAUCGUAUAACAGUCUUUGGGUGUAGGAUUUUGAGGACUACACCUUUAAGUAAACAAACUCCUGCUUGAGGGACACCCCUGCUCAGCUCUGGGACCCCUGGCCCGUCCUGCUCCUCCAUCUUCCGUCUCCAUCUGCGACUGCGUCUGCAUCCCGGCUGCAUCUGAGCGAUUUCACAUGCCUGGGAGGACUCUUUAUCUACAGUACUGCGCUGCCGAUUGCCUGUUGCUUGCCUCGCCUGUGAGCCUGGCCGUCUGCUUUCUCUAUCCCAGCACCGCUCCGAGCUCUCCAGCCCACUCUGACUCCGCUGUGUGGGGACCCCUGCUGAGACACAG